GUUUUUUUCUACGUUAAAGGUUGGCGAAUCUCUUUUUUCUACAAUAGGUCUUGCCAUUAUGGGACUUUUGUGUGUUUUGAUAAAGGCAAAAAGUCUUGGACAAGCUGGUGCUGAUAUUUUGCUGUUUCCACAAUGUUGGAAAACCUUUACGUUUUAACAGACUAUUGAGCUGCGCUGCUAAUUUCUUGGUUGGAUCUUCUUUUAGUAGGGUUGGUUUGGUGUCUUUGAUGUAAUCCUCUAGAAAAGAAUCGUACUUACUUCUCUCCAGUAAUACCAUUUUUUUCGUUUUGUCCUCCCUCGGGAUUGUACUGUAUAUCCGCUCUGGUCCAUCCUCUUCUCAGCUUUUUUGAUUAGAGUGUUUUCUUGGCGCUGUUGUCUAUGUAGAUUAGGUUGUUUACUGGCGGGGUCAAACUUGGCCAUUUUUUCUCUUGCGUAGACCCCUCUAUAUUUUUGCUUCUCUCCUUUGUCUGCUAUCGCAUCUAGAGUGUCCUCCACGUAUGGAAUCUCAUCAAUUGGGGUCAUAUUGACAAGUGUAGCACAGGCUGGGUCUUUUUUGAUUAAUUUUCAAGAAAAGGUGGAAUUUCUAUUUCACCUACAACCGUUAUGGCCUCUUUCAGUUCUAUUUCAGUUUUGCUUUUUCUUACCCCUUAUGUUUUAAAGACCCACUUCAACUUUUUAAUGUAUUUCUCUCUUAAGUUAACUUGCUUUGUUUUGAUGCUACUGUUUGCUCUCUGCACAAAUUCAUUUGCUUUAUUAUCUUUAGUUAGUUGUUGUUUGCUGGCUGCCUCUUCUGUUAAGGCUCGAAAAUAGUUUUGUUUCGCAUCCAUGAUUGCUGCUUUGAGGCAAACCCUCUUAGUGUUUUCAAGGGCUUUUUUAGAUUUAACUGGUAACUUUAUUUUAAAUAUUGUCGUAGGAUAGACUUUAUUUAACUUGCACUCUUGA
This 942-nucleotide long non-coding RNA is filed under the name Androctonus crassicauda. The record is from RNAcentral. Lineage: Eukaryota; Metazoa; Arthropoda; Arachnida; Scorpiones; Buthidae.